Molecule: ribosomal RNA, 337 nt
Filed under: Buitinga sp. DNA100437896
Lineage: Eukaryota; Metazoa; Arthropoda; Arachnida; Araneae; Pholcidae
Description: bacterial SSU rRNA
Rfam family: Eukaryotic small subunit ribosomal RNA
Source: RNAcentral
UUAGAUGCUCGGGGCCGCACGCGCGCUACACUGAAGGAAUCAGCGUGUGCUCUCCCGGUCCGGCAGGACUGGGUAACCCGCUGAACCUCCUUCGUGAUAGGGACAGGGGUUUGUAACUAUCCCCCUCGAACGAGGAAUGCCUAGUAGGCGCGAGUCAUCAACUCGCGUCGAUUCGGUCCCUGCCCUUUGUACACACCGCCCGUCGCUACUACCGAUUGAACGAUUUAGUGAGGUCUUCGGACUGGCGCCCGAGCUUUGUUUUCGGACGAGGUCGCGGUGCCGGAAAGAUGCCCGAACUUGACCGUUUAGAGGAAGUAAAAGUCGUAACAAGGUUUUC